This 465-nucleotide ribosomal RNA is filed under the name Vreelandella stevensii. Its description in RNAcentral is "partial 16S ribosomal RNA". It matches the Rfam family "Bacterial small subunit ribosomal RNA", at positions 338 to 795 of the family's 1533-position model. Lineage: Bacteria; Pseudomonadati; Pseudomonadota; Gammaproteobacteria; Oceanospirillales; Halomonadaceae. The record is from RNAcentral.
CCUACGGGAGGCAGCAGUGGGGAAUAUUGGACAAUGGGGGCAACCCCGAUCCAGCCAUGCCGCGUGUGUGAAGAAGGCCCUCGGGUUGUAAAGCACUUUCAGUGAGGAAGAACGCCUGGUGGUUAAUACCCAUCAGGAAAGACAUCACUCACAGAAGAAGCACCGGCUAACUCCGUGCCAGCAGCCGCGGUAAUACGGAGGGUGCGAGCGUUAAUCGGAAUUACUGGGCGUAAAGCGCGCGUAGGUGGCUUGAUAAGCCGGUUGUGAAAGCCCCGGGCUCAACCUGGGAACGGCAUCCGGAACUGUCAAGCUAGAGUGCAGGAGAGGAAGGUAGAAUUCCCGGUGUAGCGGUGAAAUGCGUAGAGAUCGGGAGGAAUACCAGUGGCGAAGGCGGCCUUCUGGACUGACACUGACACUGAGGUGCGAAAGCGUGGGUAGCAAACAGGAUUAGAUACCCCGGUAGUC